UUGGCUGCUGUUCCUUUUUGGCAUCUGCAAGUCAACUUAAUAAGAUCUCAGCUUUCCUGUUGCCUCCCCAGUGAAACAGAAACCAGACCACAAGGGGGUCUGGAGAUAGUUACCCCUGCCUCCUGGUGGGCAGCAGAGCUGCCUCAGAGACAGCACCAGGAACGACUGCUGGAGACUGUCACUCUGGCUUCCCCCCGCACGAGGGUGAGGGAAGCUGGGGCACCCUGGAAGGUCUUGUUUCAAGCAGGGGAAAAGAUGGCGGGUGCUGGGCCCAUAAGCUGGUGCUGGGCUCCUGGCUCUCCUGCCUUUCGUCUUUGAGUUUUAGACAGUCAUUAGUCUUGUCGCUCAGGACUCAGGGCAUAAAAGAGCACCAGGCACAGUGCAGAAUGUGCCGGGCUCAGUUGCUGUGGUCUGGGGUGAUUUCACCCACGGCCCACUCCUGCGCACUUUGUGAUUCCUGGCCUCUUCCUGGAGCAGGCCACCUUUGGGUCAUCUCUGGUCAGUCCCAACUCUGUCUUCACUCUUGGCUCGAAUAUCACUUUGUCCCUUUAGCAACUGGUAAGGGGCUGUCUUCAGGGUCCACUUACGGUCCCCUGAUGUCCAGAACAUUCCCUUUAGUCAGGUCCCUCCUCCCUUCUCUUGCCUACCCUCACUCUGCUGCUCACCUGUGGGCCAGGGUGGCAGGGGGCUCCUUCACCUCGGAGCUGAGGCAGAGAGUCCCACAGCUGGGAAUGCUACCAACAGUGUCAGAAGGGAAGGGGAUAGGGGGCAGGUCACCAGGUCACCAGGUACCUUCCAGGAGCCGGGAGCUGGACAGUUUGGCCGAUUCCGAGGUCUCGGCUCUCCUGCCAGAACCUUUUUCCUCUCCAUGGUGGUUUUCAUUAUUUUUCAUUCCCAGACUAUUUUGGAAGCUGGCUGCCAUGAGAACAGAGUCUUUGGAAAACCCCCGCCUCUUUUCUCCUCCUGCCCCCACCCAUUCCCUCUUAAUUGGUUUUUAGUUCCCUGCCUUUCAGGCCUGUCUGUUUACUUUGAUUGCAACUCCACAGGAAAAAAAUCUUUAAUGAAGCAGCUUGCAGGGAGAGCCAUUAGCAGCAGCCUGCCUCAAGGGAGGGAAGGAGAAAGGGAGCUGGGUGGCGCCUGGCCUGGGCCUCAGCCUCAACAGCCCGCGGAAGAGGCCCAGGCCAGGCAGGGGUGCAGCUCGUUUGGGUCAGUCCUUCUUCAGGUACAGUGUGGAGAUGAAGGAACAGAGUGGCCUUGCUAAAGCUGUCUGCAGCCUCAGCCAAGAUGAAGCAGCCCAGAGAAUCCUCAGGGGCUCCCCCAGUCCUCCCAGAAAGUGACUGGCUUGGGAAGAUGCACUUCUGGCCAGGGAAGGUCAGAUGGGGGCUUGUGGGAAGCGCUUCAUGUUCCUAAUAGGAAUGAAACAGGGAAAGUCGGGUUUAAUUCUUCCUUGGUUGCUCCUGUGCUGGUUCCCUGGGGGUCAUCCCGGCCCUGAAGGAGGUCAGAAUGAGGAUGAAGCCUUCGCAGGGAGGACUGCAGAGUGUCUGAAAAUGUUGGCCACCAGCUAGAGUGGCCCUGUCUCUGGACUUUUUGCUACUUAAAUUUUUUUAUUAUUUAAAGUAGUGUAAACCAUUG
This is a long non-coding RNA of Cavia porcellus (domestic guinea pig), 1632 nucleotides long. RefSeq lists it as uncharacterized. The record is from RefSeq and is a predicted model, not a curated record. NCBI's taxonomy places the organism in Eukaryota, Metazoa, Chordata, Mammalia, Rodentia, Caviidae. The transcript is spliced from 2 exons.